This is a non-coding RNA of Paramuricea clavata, 1011 nucleotides long. NCBI's taxonomy places the organism in Eukaryota, Metazoa, Cnidaria, Anthozoa, Malacalcyonacea, Plexauridae. The record is from the annotation of a GenBank genome assembly.
AUGAACAUCAUUGUAGUUCCAUGAAUUCCGCUAAUAGUUUCUAUAUCACACCGCAUCUGUUUGUCAAAAUUAAUCAAAUGAUAACAUUGGCAAUCCGGUCAAUAUAUAUGUUUGACAAAAUCUUUCUGAUUGAAUGACAGUGAAGUUUAUACGAAGGGCCCUCGGUUGAAUAAAUUAGUCUAGACUCCAGAGAUUUUAGAAAGAAUGUUAUACUUUGUGAAGGAUGAAUGACUUUUGACAAAUUGCCAACGGAAACAUUGUCAUGUCUGCAUGCGCGAAUCAAGUGCAUUGUAUUAGGCGAGGUAUUUUUUUCAACAGUACAAAUGUGUAUUGUUGCCUGCAGUAGCACCUUGUACCUAGCUCAUGUAACUACACAAACUACAUUUUGUCAAAAGCGUUCAAAAGGACGAGUCUCACUUACCUAAGGUUACGUUUCUGCUUUAAGACGGACAACACCAACAUAUUUCAACCCGAUUUUGGAAAUUCAUAAAUCACACACAUUUUAACAAGAUUAUUGUAACAUGCAUUAGCGAUGCAGGAUUAAAUGAUUCAUGACACCAAGGACCAUGUGUAAACUUGGCUAUAUAGUUUCAAACCAGAUAAUCCUCGAUAAUAUGUCUGUUGUAUGUAAAUCCUAAAGGAUAUAUUUCUGUUUCAAAAAACCUACAGCCUAUACAGUGCCAACAAUAACGAUGAAAUGUUUAAAAUAAUUGUCACGCUAUGUUAAAUCUUCUAUUAAAGGCUAGAAAAUUAAAAUAUACUUGUGUGUUGACUGCCUUUGGGCAAAUGUUUUACCAGACUAUUUGAAGUAACAAUACAUACUCUGCAUGCUUGCAGGGUAAAGACUAAAGUAACAACUGAUCGUGACUAAAACACCACACGAGUACAUACGAGUAACAUACGAGUAACACACAGGUACAUACGAGUAACACACGAGUACAUACGAGUAACAUACGAGUAACAUACGAGUACAUACGAGUAACACACGAGUACAUACGAGUAAAACACAAG